Nerophis ophidion (straightnose pipefish) is the source of this 716-nucleotide long non-coding RNA. RefSeq lists it as uncharacterized. The transcript has 4 exons. The record is from RefSeq and is a predicted model, not a curated record. Lineage: Eukaryota; Metazoa; Chordata; Actinopteri; Syngnathiformes; Syngnathidae.
GGGACACAACACACACACAUGCAUGCAUGCAGGCAGGCAGGCAGGGAGGCUGGCCCACAGCCUGGCUGCAGAGCUCUGACGUUAACACAAUAACCUUGGAGGACCCAGCGACGGAAAGAGAGAUGGCGAGGACUAACAGGAAGUACACGGGAUAUAAGAUCAACAAUUGUCUGCUUCUACUUAUUUGACACAGGCCCCCGUGGAAGCUGGAGAGGCUGAGCGAGAAAGACAGGAGUUCUAUUUAUGUGGUUACGAAAACCAAAAUGGAAAUGGAGCUACCUGUACUGUCCGCCAACAGCAUACCAGGAUACGCCCCCGCACACUCUGAGCACUUCACGCCCGCGCUUCGCCGCAGCUGUGGACUGAAAGCAAUCAACCCACCUGACAGCAAUCAGGAGGACAGCAUAAAGGCCAGUCACUCCUUGGAACCUGCGCCGGAACGUCGUUAACUCUCGUAUUGCCUCCCUCGAUCCUCGAUCUCUCGCCUGGACUCAGACCUUGUUUGCUUGCCGCCUGCCCUCGACUUCCUGCCUGUCCCCGAAUCUUCCUUGUGCCUACUCCUCCUUGACCAGACGCAGGGUUCAUUCAACACGCAUCUACAACAUCCUCUUGUUUCUUUCACAUGGUUAAAUUCACACUUAAUCCUGCAACCAACAGUUUGAGUAGCAUACACAUCCCACAAAAUCAUCAAGGUUACAAUAAACCCGGUAACCUUA